This 1136-nucleotide long non-coding RNA is filed under the name Bos indicus x Bos taurus (hybrid cattle). RNAcentral describes it as "lncRNA (ENSBIXG00005014117.1)". The record is from RNAcentral. Lineage: Eukaryota; Metazoa; Chordata; Mammalia; Artiodactyla; Bovidae.
CCAGUGUUCACUGCAGCACUGUUUACAAUAGCCAGGACAUGGAAGCAACCUAAAUGUCCAUCAACAGAGGAAUGGAUAAAGAAGAUGUGGUGCAUAUAUACAAUGGAAUAUUACUCAGCCAUUAAAGAAGAAUGAAAUAAUGCCAUUUUCAGCAACAUGAAUGGACCUAGAGAGUACACUGAAUGAAGUAAGUCAGAGAAGGAGAAAUAUCACAUCACAUCCCUUAUAUGUGGAAUCUAAAAAUAAAUUAUAUAAAUCACAAAACAGAGACUCACAGACUUAGAAAAUGAACUUAUGGUUGCUGGGAGGAAGGGAUAGUUAAGGAGUUCAGGAUGGUCAUGUACCCUGCAAUAUUUAAAAUGGGUAACAAGCAAGGACCUAUAGUUUAGCACAUGGAACUCUGCUCAGUGUUGUGUGGCAGCCUGGAUGGGAGGGGAGUGGUAUGGGGGAGAAUGGAUACAUGUAUAUAUUUGGCCCUGUCCCUUCGCUGUUGGCCUGAAACUGUCACAACAUUGUUUAUUGGCUAAAUCCCAAUACAAAAUAAAAACUUCAAAAAAUGAAUAACCUGUUUUUGAGUUAUGAGUGAGACUUCUUAUCUGAGAACCAUGGCAUCAAGAAAAUCUCCAAACUUCUUGUCUUUCUUUUUUUUUUUUGGUUUUCUGUAGUCCCCAAAGGAUCAGAAUGUUUCAAGGAGGAUUCUGACACUGGCUAAAAUAAUUAACAGUGUACAUCAGUCUAUUCAGCUUCUGAAGAUUCGUGUCAGAGUUCAGAGGAAGGAGCAUCCCUGGAGACUGGGCCUCCACUGUGCCAUCUCUCCUGAACGUCUUCAUCCUGGAGAUUCCAGCGCCUUUUUAGUCGUGGCCCCGGUGCCCAGAGAGAUGGAAGGAGAGCCACACACACCACCAGGGCUCUGGGGGCUGCUCCGUAAUCCCUGGGACGAACGGGCCACAGGAGCUGCUUGACGCCCACAGUUCCCUGAGCCAGAGGACCACCCUCAUAUUCCUGAAAGAAAUCCAAGGUUAGUAUUUUUGAAAUUUGCACCCCAGGGACUCAUGAACACCCCACUGACCCCCAAACUUCCCUUUACUAGCUUCUGAUUCUUUCCAGGCUUGGGGCCUGGCCUCCUCAGGCAGCAG